This 1234-nucleotide ribosomal RNA is filed under the name metagenome. Its description in RNAcentral is "bacterial LSU rRNA". It matches the Rfam family "Bacterial large subunit ribosomal RNA", at positions 1564 to 2808 of the family's 2925-position model. The record is from RNAcentral.
UGAUGACGAGACGCUAAGGCGUUGAAGCAGUGUAUGUCAGACUUCCAAGAAAAGCUCGCAAUGUCACAAAUAAGAAAUGCCUGUACCAUAACCGACACAGGUGGGUAGGUAGAGUAUACUAAGGGGCGCGAGAUAACUCUCUCUAAGGAACUCGGCAAAAUGACUCCGUAACUUCGGGAGAAGGAGUGCCUUAUUUAUAAGGUUGCAAUAACAAGAUCCAAGCAACUGUUUAUCAAAAACACAGGUCUCCGCUAAGUCGUAAGACGAUGUAUGGGGGCUGACGCCUGCCCAGUGCCAGAAGGUUAAAGAAGUUGGUUAGUGUAUGCGAAGCUGAUGACUGAAGCCCUGGUGAACGGCGGCCGUAACAAUAACGGUCCUAAGGUAGCGAAAUUCCUUGUCGGGUAAGUUCCGACCCGCACGAAAGGCGUAAUGAUUUGGAUACUGUCUCGGAGAGAGGCUCGGUGAAAUAGACUUGUCUGUGAAGAUGCGGACUACCUGCACCAGGACAGAAAGACCCUAUGAAGCUUUACUGUAACUUGAAAUUGGAAUUGGACUUUGCUUGCGCAGUAUAGGUGGGAAGCGUUGAAAAUAUUCUUGCGGGAGUAUUGGAGCUAUCAGUGAGAUACCACUCUUGUAAUGUUAGAUUUCUAACUUUGAACCAUAAUCUGGUCAAAGAACAGUUUCAGGUGGGCAGUUUGACUGGGGCGGUCGCCUCCCAAAUGGUAACGGAGGCGUACAGAGGUUUCCUCUGAACGGAUAGAAAUCGUAUCUAGAGUGUAAAGGCAUAAGGAAGCUUGACUGUGAGACCUACAAGUCGAGCAGGGACGAAAGUCGGUCUUAGUGAUCUGACGGUACUGAGUGGAAAGGCCGUCACUCAACGGAUAAAAGUUACUCUAGGAUAACAGGCUGAUCUCCCCCAAGAGUUCACAUCGACGGGGAGGUUUGGCACCUCGAUGUCGGCUCAUCGCAUCCUGGGGCGGUAGUACGUCCCAAGGGUUGGGCUGUUCGCCCAUGAAAGCGGUACGCGAGCUGGGUUCAGAACGUCGUGAGACAGUUCGGUCCAUAUCCGGUGUAGGCGCUAGAAUAUUGAGAGGAGCCUUCUUUAGUACGAGAGGACCGAGAAGGACACACCGCUGGUGUACCAGUUAUCGUGCCAACGGUAAACGCUGGGUAGCUAUGUGUGGAGUGGAUAACCGCUGAAAGCAUCUAAGUGGGAAGCCCACCUCGAGAUGAG